This 989-nucleotide long non-coding RNA is filed under the name Salmo salar (Atlantic salmon). RNAcentral's name for it is "lncRNA (ENSSSAG00000101321.1)". Lineage: Eukaryota; Metazoa; Chordata; Actinopteri; Salmoniformes; Salmonidae. The record is from RNAcentral.
AGGGGAGGCUGAUGGUGAGGCACUCAGAGUCUCAGGAAAAAAGGAUCUAAACAGGCAGUAGAUCACUGCUCCACACAACUCCAUCCAGAUUCAUCUCCUGAGGUGGGAAUCCAUCAAACAAGCCACCAAGAGAUGAAGAGAGACAGAGCGAGAGGAGGAGAGAGGGAGAGGGGGAGAGAGAGAGGGAGGGGGAGAGAGAGAGGAAGAGAGAGAGAGAGAGAAAGAGAGAGAGGGGGAAAUAGAGGGAGCGAGAGAGAAGGCGAGAGAGAGAUAGAGGAGAUGGACUGAGAGCCCCAGUCCUUUAUGGUACCCAUUGACAGAGAGUGAUGGGGCUGGAUAUUUUAGAUAGAUCUCAGCAGAAUCUGCUCCCAUGGAAAUGGAACUGGCAGCUGGAGAGAGAGAGAGGCCUUAAAAGUACUGUGGAUGGUGGAUAGUUAUGAGCGUCCCGGACUAGAGCCUAUAGAUCACAGACAGAUUGAUAUGUUUAUGUGUAUAACUGGCCUAUAUCAGCUGAUGGUAGAUGGGAGGAGGAGGAGGAGGUGGAGGAUGGGGAGCAGAUGGAGGAGAUUGAGGAAGAGUAGGAUGGGGAUAAGGAGGAUGAGGUGGAGGAGAAGGUGGAGGAGGAGGAUGAGGAGGAGGAUGAGGUGGAGGAGGAGGAUGAGGUGGAGGAGGAGGAGGAGCUGGAGGAAGAUGGGGAAGAGGAGGUGGAGGAUGGGGAGGAGGUGGAACAGGUGGAUGGGGAGGAUGGGGAGGAGGAGGAUGGGGAGGAGGUGGAUGGGGAGGAAGUGGAGGAGAUUGAGGAGGAGGAGGUGGAUGGGGAGGAGGAGGACGAGGAGCUGGAGGAGGAUGGGGAGGAGGAGGUGGAGGAGGUGGUGGAGGUUGAGGAGGAGGAGGUGGAGGAGGAGGAGCUGCAGGAGGAGGUGGAGGAGGAGCUGGAGGAGGAUGGGGAGGAGGAGGUGGAGGAGGUGGUAGAGGUUGAGGAGGAGGAG